RNAcentral lists this ribosomal RNA (514 nucleotides) under uncultured bacterium. Its description in RNAcentral is "bacterial SSU rRNA". It matches the Rfam family "Bacterial small subunit ribosomal RNA", at positions 29 to 526 of the family's 1533-position model. The record is from RNAcentral.
AACGAACGUUAGCGGCGCGCCUAACACAUGCAAGUCGAGCGAGAAAGGGAGCAAUCCCCGGUACAGCGGCGCACGGGUGAGUAACACGUAGGUAAUCUGCCUCUGAGUGGGGGAUAACCUUCCGAAAGGAGGGCUAAUACCGCAUAAGACCACGCCUUCGAGAGGAGGAGAGGUCAAAGUCGGGUCUAUGAAUCUGACGCUUGGAGAUGAGCCUGCGGCCCAUCAGCUAGUUGGCAGGGUAACGGCCUACCAAGGCGAAGACGGGUAGCUGGUCUGGAAGGAUAAUCAGCCACACUGGAACUGAGACACGGUCCAGACUCCUACGGGAGGCAGCAGUGGGGAAUCUUGCGCAAUGGGCGAAAGCCUGACGCAGCGACGCCGCGUGAGUGAUGAAGGCCUUCGGGUUGUAAAGCUCUGUGGAGAGGGAAGAAUAAGGGCGGGCUAAUACCCCGUUUGAUGACGGUACCUCUUUAGCAAGCACCGGCUAACUCUGUGCCAGCCGCCGCAGUAAAAC